GUCUCGAUCGAAGUUUUGUUUACAUGUGCAGGAUUAACUACGAUAAAAGUAAGACAUGCAGUAGGAGUUGCGUCGGAGUCAAGACAAUGAUCACAUUGGGAGUUCGAGAGUUCGACGGAAGUUCGGACAAUCAUCGGAGGUUCUACGGGAACAAAUCCGAGAAGUCCAUAAGCUUGCCAAAGAAGCUCAUCGGAACUCGCCAAGUGGAUCGUCGCAAGUCCAGGAGUUUGCCG
Molecule: long non-coding RNA, 233 nt
Filed under: Musa acuminata (dwarf banana)
Lineage: Eukaryota; Viridiplantae; Streptophyta; Magnoliopsida; Zingiberales; Musaceae
Description: long non-coding RNA (MACU_LNC003383)
Source: RNAcentral